Long non-coding RNA from Erpetoichthys calabaricus (reedfish), 1308 nucleotides. RefSeq lists it as uncharacterized. The record is from RefSeq and is a predicted model, not a curated record. NCBI's taxonomy places the organism in Eukaryota, Metazoa, Chordata, Cladistia, Polypteriformes, Polypteridae. The transcript is spliced from 5 exons.
UCAUCAAUGGAAGCAAAGUCACAUUCAGAUAAUAAAUGUACCGCCUCUGAGUUUUGCCCGCUAGAUGGCACAACACGCCUUAUGAAUAGGUAGCUUGCCCGAUUUAAUCGCGUAGUCAGUUGUGGCCGCGAAAGUCCUUGGAUACCCAUGAUCCUUCGCGUCGGGGCGUAGCUGGGAAGACACACUGCCGCUUACCGUCACGUGUAGCGUUUCUUUCGCACCUUUCCAGACUAGCAGAACGUUUUUUUUUUGUGAAAUUAUUUGCCUUACCGGUGUUAAUACUUGACUUUGUGAUUUUUUUAGCCAGUUUGAGUAUAUUUUGGACUUUGUUUUACCACGAGUGGUACAAAAAUGACAGUUUUAACUUUGGAAAGUGGGAGACAUUCAAAUUAUCAUUCUUAAGUCACCAGUGGCCCAUCAUUUGUUCACUUUUUCCUGUCCUUCCCAAUGAAUCAUCCAGCAGAGGUCCACCAUCAUACUGACAUCCCAAAGUUCCUGGUACUUACUUUAAACGUUCUAGAUAUCCUUUCACCCUGCUCUUCACUCAGCACUCCAAGAUUUUCAGGUCAUGGGAAUCCAGAGUCUAUCCUGGCAACAUUGAGUCCAGGAUGAAAAUAAAACUCUGAAAGGAAUGUUGGUGUUUUACAGAGAACAAUAAUCUGCAUAAUAUGUCCAGUAAUACUGGGCUUAUUCAGAGAUGCCUGUUAACCUUACAUGUCCCAUUUUGGAGCAUGGGAUGAGACUGGAGUAUCUGAUGAAAACUCAACACAAGAAAGUGUGAAAACUCCAAAGAGACAGCAAUCAGACUGGAAAUGGUUUACUUUAGCACUCUCAUUUAUGUAACUGCAUGCUGAUUUUGCUUAGAAUCUUUUAAUCAUAGUGAUUUGGAUCCUACUAUAGCAGCAUCAGGUACAAGGUACACCAGGUUAAUUAACAGUCACCAUUCAACCUAAGAGUCAUGUCUUUGGAAAGGACACAGGAACUGCGCUUUGACAUUGGACCAGGCCAGGUACUGAAUUGAAUGCAUUAACAUCCUACAAUUACAGAUUCAGAGGUUCACUGGCUCAAUGUGCAAGAGGUUUCAUGCAGUGGUGAUAAAAAGAAGUUGUCACACAAAGUACUGACAACUGCAGGACUACAGAUGUUAAUGGUUAUUGUUUUUCUGUUGUUUUUUGUUAUUGUGCUGUUUUCUUUUUCCUAUUAUUCUCAUUUCAGCAAUGAAGGUUGAACUUUCACUCCAAUAAGUGUUAAUGUAUCUUUUUUUAAUAAAUACAUUGUAUACUGUACAAUAAAGGUAGAUGAAAAAUA